UGGACAGAUUAUUAUAUUCGACUGUAUUCACGGCGUGAAACAGGGGAUUACACUAUUUUUAAACGGAAAGUGAAUCAAUUAACAUAAUAGACUCCU
Nicotiana attenuata is the source of this 96-nucleotide microRNA precursor. It matches the Rfam family "MIR6152 microRNA precursor family". NCBI's taxonomy places the organism in Eukaryota, Viridiplantae, Streptophyta, Magnoliopsida, Solanales, Solanaceae. The record is from Rfam.